This 1492-nucleotide ribosomal RNA is filed under the name Lactiplantibacillus plantarum. RNAcentral's name for it is "bacterial SSU rRNA". It matches the Rfam family "Bacterial small subunit ribosomal RNA". Lineage: Bacteria; Bacillati; Bacillota; Bacilli; Lactobacillales; Lactobacillaceae. The record is from RNAcentral.
GAACGCUGGCGGCGUGCCUAAUACAUGCAAGUCGAACGAACUCUGGUAUUGAUUGGUGCUUGCAUCAUGAUUUACAUUUGAGUGAGUGGCGAACUGGUGAGUAACACGUGGGAAACCUGCCCAGAAGCGGGGGAUAACACCUGGAAACAGAUGCUAAUACCGCAUAACAACUUGGACCGCAUGGUCCGAGUUUGAAAGAUGGCUUCGGCUAUCACUUUUGGAUGGUCCCGCGGCGUAUUAGCUAGAUGGUGGGGUAACGGCUCACCAUGGCAAUGAUACGUAGCCGACCUGAGAGGGUAAUCGGCCACAUUGGGACUGAGACACGGCCCAAACUCCUACGGGAGGCAGCAGUAGGGAAUCUUCCACAAUGGACGAAAGUCUGAUGGAGCAACGCCGCGUGAGUGAAGAAGGGUUUCGGCUCGUAAAACUCUGUUGUUAAAGAAGAACAUAUCUGAGAGUAACUGUUCAGGUAUUGACGGUAUUUAACCAGAAAGCCACGGCUAACUACGUGCCAGCAGCCGCGGUAAUACGUAGGUGGCAAGCGUUGUCCGGAUUUAUUGGGCGUAAAGCGAGCGCAGGCGGUUUUUUAAGUCUGAUGUGAAAGCCUUCGGCUCAACCGAAGAAGUGCAUCGGAAACUGGGAAACUUGAGUGCAGAAGAGGACAGUGGAACUCCAUGUGUAGCGGUGAAAUGCGUAGAUAUAUGGAAGAACACCAGUGGCGAAGGCGGCUGUCUGGUCUGUAACUGACGCUGAGGCUCGAAAGUAUGGGUAGCAAACAGGAUUAGAUACCCUGGUAGUCCAUACCGUAAACGAUGAAUGCUAAGUGUUGGAGGGUUUCCGCCCUUCAGUGCUGCAGCUAACGCAUUAAGCAUUCCGCCUGGGGAGUACGGCCGCAAGGCUGAAACUCAAAGGAAUUGACGGGGGCCCGCACAAGCGGUGGAGCAUGUGGUUUAAUUCGAAGCUACGCGAAGAACCUUACCAGGUCUUGACAUACUAUGCAAAUCUAAGAGAUUAGACGUUCCCUUCGGGGACAUGGAUACAGGUGGUGCAUGGUUGUCGUCAGCUCGUGUCGUGAGAUGUUGGGUUAAGUCCCGCAACGAGCGCAACCCUUAUUAUCAGUUGCCAGCAUUAAGUUGGGCACUCUGGUGAGACUGCCGGUGACAAACCGGAGGAAGGUGGGGAUGACGUCAAAUCAUCAUGCCCCUUAUGACCUGGGCUACACACGUGCUACAAUGGAUGGUACAACGAGUUGCGAACUCGCGAGAGUAAGCUAAUCUCUUAAAGCCAUUCUCAGUUCGGAUUGUAGGCUGCAACUCGCCUACAUGAAGUCGGAAUCGCUAGUAAUCGCGGAUCAGCAUGCCGCGGUGAAUACGUUCCCGGGCCUUGUACACACCGCCCGUCACACCAUGAGAGUUUGUAACACCCAAAGUCGGUGGGGUAACCUUUUAGGAACCAGCCGCCUAAGGUGGGACAGAUGAUUAGGGUGAAGUCG